GACGAACGCUGGCGGCGUGCUUAACACAUGCAAGUCGAACGGAAAGGCCCUGCUUUUGUGGGGUGCUCGAGUGGCGAACGGGUGAGUAACACGUGAGUAACCUGCCCUUGACUUUGGGAUAACUUCAGGAAACUGGGGCUAAUACCGGAUAGGAGCUCCUGCUGCAUGGUGGGGGUUGGAAAGUUUCGGCGGUUGGGGAUGGACUCGCGGCUUAUCAGCUUGUUGGUGGGGUAGUGGCUUACCAAGGCUUUGACGGGUAGCCGGCCUGAGAGGGUGACCGGCCACAUGGGGACUGAGAUACGGCCCAGACUCCUACGGGAGGCAGCAGUGGGGAAUAUUACACAAUGGGCGGAAGCCUGAUGCAGCAACGCCGCGUGCGGGAUGACGGCCUGCGGGUUGUAAACCGCUGUCGCCUGUGACGAAGCGUGAGUGACGGUAACGGGUAAAGAAGCACCGGCUAACUACGUG
Molecule: ribosomal RNA, 468 nt
Filed under: uncultured bacterium
Lineage: Bacteria
Description: partial 16S ribosomal RNA
Rfam family: Bacterial small subunit ribosomal RNA
Source: RNAcentral